RNAcentral lists this ribosomal RNA (451 nucleotides) under uncultured bacterium. RNAcentral describes it as "bacterial SSU rRNA". It matches the Rfam family "Bacterial small subunit ribosomal RNA", at positions 329 to 794 of the family's 1533-position model. The record is from RNAcentral.
UGCCAGACUCCUACGGGAGGCAGCAGUGGGGAAUAUUGCACAAUGGGGGAAACCCUGAUGCAGCGACGCCGCGCGAGUGAAGAAGUAUUUCGGUAUGUAAAGCUCUGUCAGCAGGGAAGAAAGCAAUGACGGUACCUGACCAAGAAGCCCCGGCUAACUACGUGCCAGCAGCCGCGGUAAUACGUAGGGGGCAAGCGUUAUCCGGAAUUACUGGGUGUAAAGGGAGCGUAGACGGCUGUGCAAGUCUGGAGUGAAAGGCGGGGGCCCAACCCCCGGACUGCUCUGGAAACUGUAUGGCUGGAGUGCAGGAGAGGUAAGUGGAAUUCCUAGUGUAGCGGUGAAAUGCGUAGAUAUUAGGAGGAACACCAGUGGCGAAGGCGGCUUACUGGACUGUAACUGACGUUGAGGCUCGAAAGCGUGGGGAGCAAACAGGAUUAGAUACCCCCGUAUU